GCGUCAUCCUGCCUGCCGGGCGGUGGCACCGUUUGUCGCCCGGCCAAAGUCCUCGAAAACCUCCUCUCUUCGGAGUGGUGGCUCGGGGUAAAAGAACCCACGGCGCCGAAGGCGUCAAGGAACACUGUGCCUAGCCCCGGGACGCGGCUGGCUUGCUGGCCGCAUCUUGGGUUGCAAUGCUAUAUAUAAUCCACAUGACUCUCGGCAACGGAUAUCUCGGCUCUCGCAUCGAUGAAGAACGUAGCGAAAUGCGAUACCUGGUGUGAAUUGCAGAAUCCCGCGAACCAUCGAGUCUUUGAACGCAAGUUGCGCCCGAGGCCUUCUGGUCGAGGGCACGCCUGCCUGGGCGUCACGCCAAACACGCUCCCACCSCACUAACCCUGUGGUGGGAUGCGGCAUGUGGCUCCCCGUCUCGCAAGUGGCGGUGGGCCGAAGAUCUGGCUGCCGGUGUAUCGUGCCGGACACAGCGCGUGGUAGGCGAUCUCGCUAUACUAAACGCAGUGCAUCCGGGGCGUAGCCGACGUAAUGCCCUCCAUGGACCCUAUUACGGAGCRCACGACGCUUCGACC
Molecule: unclassified non-coding RNA, 569 nt
Filed under: Festuca incurva
Lineage: Eukaryota; Viridiplantae; Streptophyta; Magnoliopsida; Poales; Poaceae
Description: sequence contains ITS1, 5.8S rRNA gene and ITS2
Rfam family: 5.8S ribosomal RNA (bases 197-352)
Source: RNAcentral